GUGCUCGCUUCAACAGCACAUGUACUAAAAUUGGAAUGAUACACAGAAGAUUAACAUGGCCCCUGCGCAAGGACGACAUGCAAAUUCAUGAAGCGUUCCAUAUUUUU
Molecule: small nuclear RNA, 107 nt
Organism: Rhinolophus ferrumequinum (greater horseshoe bat)
Lineage: Eukaryota; Metazoa; Chordata; Mammalia; Chiroptera; Rhinolophidae
Source: Ensembl